RNAcentral lists this long non-coding RNA (1222 nucleotides) under Struthio camelus australis. Its description in RNAcentral is "lncRNA (ENSSCUG00000004303.1)". The record is from RNAcentral. Lineage: Eukaryota; Metazoa; Chordata; Aves; Struthioniformes; Struthionidae.
CUGAGCUAUUGUUUUGAGUUCUUAAAACUAAAACUUAAGAUGAGUAUACUAAAGAAAUUACAUUAUAAAUGAAUUGUUGCUCAAAAUUCAUCUUCCAAGUAUUUAAUAUUUUGCUUUUAUGAAUUUUCACCUUAAUAUUCAGUUAUAUCACAGUUAAGUCGUUGUUUUUAAAGACAGUGAUGUUAUAAAUAUUCAUCGUGUAAGGAUUCCUUUUUUUCUUUAAAGUAAAACUCAAUUUUUAGGACAACAGUCUGGAAUUUAAAGCACAAAGAUGAUUAAGUAUACAGUUAGAACAUGGUUUCAGAGAAGAACUAGUGCCUGUUUGAAAGAAAAUAAAGCAAAUAUUAACAAUAUCCUCAAUUUCACAGAUACUAGUACCAUCCUCCCUUCUUGGGUCAUUACCUUCACAAAUAAUUGGACUUUAUUAUUUUAUUAUCCUAAACAAUGUGUUUCGUUACAAUGAAAAGCAUCUACAACCCUUGAGAAUACAGCCUGACAGUGGACUUCGCCAUCCAGUUCUCAACGAUAACUGUCAACUGGACUAUUAACACAAGCUGAUUAACACCAGACAAUCCACAAGCAAAUGCCACAGAUGUGACUACAGCAGAUCUGGGAUGCUCCUCCGUGGGUACAGAAGAGCAUGGGGGGGAGAUGGCGCUGCAACCGCUCUACCCUGUUCGGGGUCACUGGACAGCAACAAGGCUUACUGGUGGCUUGAGAGCACUGAAAUCCACAUUAGAUAUUACUAAUCACUGCUGUGAGCAGAUUCUCAUGCUGGGUAGCAGUCAUUACCACAUUGUCCGUGAUGGCGGCUGGGUGCAAAAGUCUGACGUUCUGCUGCAUGAAGAACUCCUUCAGGCCCAGGACCAUCUCUAACCUGAGGAAUCCAACCAAAGACUGUUACAGUCUGCUAUGACACUGGACUUGCUCAAACAGGCAAUCACCUCUCAUCCUAUAAUUCAGUUACCCUGGCAGAUUACCUGGAAAAACAAAAUAAUCCACAGACACAAACAGUAAAACACUAUCACUGCCCGGAUUAGACCUGUCCCAGCCCUGCAGCUUCACCGAUGGCUUAAGUGAACAUGUAUCCAACCUCUCUGCACUGACAGCUGCAUGCAAAAUUCACUUUGUCUUGGUUUUUCAUAAUCAUCCUUGCAAGCAAGACAGCAUUUUCAGAUUUUUGUGUAGCCCUAUAUGUAUAUUUAUAUAUGCACAUGCACAU